CUCUCAGUGGUCAGGUAUGUGGUCUGUGGCAUGUAGCCUCCCAGCACAGCAGUGUGAACCUCUUCACCGUCUCCUUCCCUCACUCUUGUUCACUGGCUUGCAAAGGAUCUGCUGGCUGAAGGUGUCCUUGUUCCGGGCUGAGGCGGGCUGAGGGAAAACCAGGUGGCUGCAGUGCCCCCUUGGUCCACUUGCUGAGGAGGCUGAAGCAGUGUGUUCAGGGCGAAUUGGAUGUCAGCCAAGCAGUCCAUGAGGCUCCGCGGGGCCCGGCCCCCAGUGGCCUCCAACCCUGCCCUCAGCAGCAGAGGAUUGCCCUCCGGUUCCACCUUUCCCACAGAUUCCACUCCCUACACUGAGGCAGCAGCUCCUCAGCAGGGAGACGGCACGGGGCCUUAGGGGCAGUGGGGGUCGCCCCAAGGACGGCAUGAACCCUCCAAACCCAGGAGGUAUCCCGUUUUGGUGGGUGGAGGGCUCCACUGUGUGUCAGGCCAGGGGACAGAGCCGGGGUCCUUCCCUCCUGGUUGUGGCCUAGGCUCGGUGCAGCUGAAUCGUUGUCCAGAAACGGCCAAUGAAGGCAGAAUCUGGGGUCUUCCUUCCCCUGGAAGAGAAGAGGAGGUUCUCCAGGUGGCUGGAUGGGGGUCCUGCGGUAGGGACUAACUCCACAGAGACAGUGGUUUUCCAGAAAGGCUGUCUGUAAUUCUCUCAUUCUGUCUCUCUCUGUGUCUGUUUCUUUGAGUCUCACUCAUGGGGCUCGGUGAGACCUCACUGGGGCUCUAACUGACAUGUGUCCUGUGUGGGGUGACUUUUUGGGUGUCAGAAGCAAGAUGUCAUUUCUCUGAGCUGUUUCAGCGCCCGUGUCCAGGAUUCGAGGCGUCUGAGCUAUGUGAGGGUCGACGUCCAGGACGUGAGAUCUCUGAGCUGUGGGGAAUUAUGUGUCCAGGGUGAGAGCCCUCUGGGCUGUUUAGGGGUCUCUCUUCCAGUGUGUGAGGUAUCUGAUCUGUUUUACGUGCUGUGUCCACAGUGUGAGGUAACGGGGUUGUGCCCAUUCUGUAUUUCAGGAACUAGGGUUUGAGCUCUCCUGGGUCGAGGAUGUGACGCAUUUGAGUUCCUCGGGGAUUCAUACCCUACGCUGUGAGAUCACAAAGGUUAUUUGACACAAGGUGGGAGGUAUCUGACCCUGUGAGGGUUCUGCAUCCUGAGUGUGACAUCUCUGACCUGGUUAUAAGUCUGCGUACCAGGGAUUAAGGUUGCUGGAAUUUCGAGGGGUCGACUGUGUCUCGGGUUAUGAACCUUGGGCGGGUGGGAUUUGGUGCACCACGCUCUGAGGUCUCUUAGAUGUUGGCUGCACGUAGCAUUGUGAGCGAGCUCUCUGUGUUCACUGUACCAGCGCUCUGAGCUGUUUGCAUGUCUGCAUCCGAGGGUGUGAGCUCUGUGAUGGUGUGGCUUCUGUGUGCAGGGUGUGAGGUCUGUGAGCUGUUGUGUUUCUGUCUCAUAGGUUAUGAAGUUGCUAAAAUCAUGCGGGCCUGUGUUUUAGAAUUUGUCGUCUCUGAGCUGAUUCUGUGUCUCUGGCCUCAUUUACUGAGUUUCUAGGAGUUUGAGUUCUGUGGAUUGUUUGGGGGGUGGGGGGGGGGGGUGUCCAGUGCAGUGAGGUCUCCUAGCUGCUCUUUCCUGGGUCUGUAUCUGGGUUUAGUGUGUCGUUGAGGUAUUGUGGGGUUUGUGAGCCAUAGUGUGAGGUCCUUGAGGUAUUUGGGAGUCUGUGUCCAGCGUCUGAUGCUUCAGAGCUGGUGGAGAUCCGGGUCCCAGAGCGAGGUCUGGUCUGUCUUUGGUUCUGUGUCCCAGUUUGAACCCCCCGAGCCAUUUGGGCAUUUAUAUCCCCAUGGAGAGACUUUGUCACAUACCAAAGUUCAGACGUGAGGUGUUUGUGACCUCCCCCCGAGGUUUCAGUCUGACAACUGUCCAGAAAGACAGGGAGAGAUUGAUCCAAGUUGGCUGUCUGUGAAUUCAUCCACUCCAGCUCCCAACAACCCGGCUUCCUUGUCUGGACCAUGGAGUAUAUGUGGUCGGCUUCCUUCAGACCCUCCACUCGGGUUGGGUUCUCACCACCCUGUCACCUGAAGGUCACAGGGUUCCCCUCGGUCCCAUUUGUGGGAAUCCCAUUGUGAGGAGGAGUUUAUUCUGUCCCCCAGACAAAAGACACAGUGUGGGGAACUCCUCUCUCACGAUGGAUGGGAGCUGCCCAUCUUGUCCUCUGAUGUCAUCUGUCUCCUCUCAGGCCCGAUGCCCAUAAAAUAAAGCUGGAUGCAUUCAUUUUGCAGCUUUCUGACUGUACAUUUGAAAGCCUGGAUCCCCUAUGCCCUGGAUGGGUGGUAGGAGAGUCGAGCUUUUUGGAUCAUCUUUCCAAACCUUAACUUGACCUUUCCAUGAUGAGGUUGUACAAACUGUACCUCAGCCCCUUCCCCAAAUGGCACACAUCUUCUGAAAGCAGAAUUCAGGGCUGGGGGAGGGGAAGGGAUCCAGGCAAAUUCCAUCUCCGGCCGGGGGGAGAGUGUGGGCCUGAGAUGACUCAGUUGGGGCGUUGGAGUCUUGUGCACAUAUUGCUUAAUAUAAAUGUGUGUUGGGUUGCAGAAAGAGUAAACAUCCUCCAGAAUUUUAUCUCCAUCUCUGAGACACCCAUGGUUUAAUCCUGUUAUUUCCUCAGGAACCACACAAUCCAUUCUGCACCAGGAGGUGAGGAUUCCAGGGGAGAAAAUUCUUUGUUCCUUUUCUGAAAACUGACAACCUGGCUAGAAGACAGACAGCAUGGCGGCCUGCCCACCAGACUGUGAGCUCUUCUCUGAGGACUGUUAUCCUGCACGGCAUCCCGUGCGCACAAAGUCUACCAAAGCAUGGAUCCUGGAGCCUGGUGCCUAGCAGGUGCUCCGAACACGUUUAUCCUGUGAGUGAUGGUGACAACCAGCGAUGCACACAGAGCAGUGUAGCUGUUGAAUGCAAGCUUCAUGAGAAUGGAGAGUCUGCAAAUUUUGUCCUGGGCAGUAUUCCCAGCACUGAGAAUGGAGCCUGGCACUAGGAAGUGAUAUGAAAUAUUUGCUGCGUGAGUUACCUGAUCGCUGGACCAGCUCUGGACGUGUAGUCUGGGUUCUUCUGGCUCCCCACGUUCCCUGCUACCUUCUAGUUCUUCGAGAACCUUCGUCUUCACCUUCCUGUCCAGACCCCAGGGCCGGCUGGAGCUUCGAGCACAGACUAGACCUCCAUGGAUCCCCUCCAGAAGCGUAACUCAACGUUGAUUUCUGAAUCUUCCCUGAUGACCUCUGAAGAGACAUCCAGGGAAGUCACAGCAGCCUCUCAUCCUUCCUUCUCAGGAUUGCUAAUGAUGGGCAUCAGUGACCUGAACCCCCAUCCUAGCACCAACUACUCUGCCCCUCUACCAGAGGGGCUGCUCCAGGAGCGGUACAGAGAUGAGGAAAUCCUGCAAGAGAGGCGGUGGAAAAGGUCAGCAUCCCCUCAGGGGAAGAAAACAUUCCUCGGGCACAUGAGACGGAGACACCUCGAUCACGUGGCACCUUAUCAGGUUGAAAGGGAAGCCAGAGUCUCUUCCUCAGAUGGUAGAGUUCAGAAUAGAUUCCGGUGUGAAUGUCGAUACUGCCAGAGCCGUAGGCCGAGUGUUUCUGGGAUGCCUGCGGAGAGGAAGGGGGCCCCACAUCCUUCCUCCUGGGAAACGCUAGUACAGGGCCUCAGUGGCUUGACCCUCAGCCUGGGUACCAACCGGCCCGGUCUUCUGCCGGAAGGGGUGCUCCAACAGCAGGAGAGAGAGGAGAAGCUCCAACUGGAGAUGCGGCAGGAAAGCAAAAGAAUGUUUCAGAGGCUCCUAAAACAGUGGUUAAAAGAAAACUGAGACUCUCAUCCUCAUGUGAUGGAGAUCUGAAUGGAUUCAGACGUGGAUGCUGGUGUUGCCAGAUCCUGGGCGUGGACUGCUUUUGGGGACCAAAGAAAUCCAAUGAUGUGUACCCAGGAAGUGACCAUGCAGUUCUUCUGAACUGAAAAUAAACUCUGCUUUCCGUUAGUCUGUGUCUUCAUGUAGUCCCCAGAGCUGUGUUGCUGCAAAAAAUCUACGCGUCUUCUGCAGACAGAAGUGGCUUGAGAACAGGUACGUUUAUUAGAUUCUGAACUUGUCAUCUCAUCAGAGAGCUUGGGAGCUUAACUGACCCUGCCAGGCUUGUCUCCCAGCUGGAGGGGAGAAGGUAAGUAAAGCAGGGCUUUUCUUUCUUGAAACUCAAAGGCCUAAAUUCGGACUGGUCAUCUGCAGUGUGUUUAGAAGGGGUAACACGGCGUUUCAUGUUUAUUGGUUGUUUACUAGAUGUCAGACAAUGUUCUACCUGUGUCCGUAGAUCAGCUUAUUUAAUCCUCUCCCACAGACCCAUCGUUUAGCAAGAUUCGAUCCCCAUUUAUGAAGUGGGAAAGCAGAGUAUAGAGCAGUUAGGGGACUUGCUCAGGGUCACACAGGCAAUAAGAGGGGUGUGGCACACAAACCUAGGCCGACUGGAUUCAGAGCCCCCGCUCUUAACCAUUCGCCGCACCGUAACCCCUUCAAGGCUGGGGGUGAAGCAUGAAGAGCUGGUGACUUCAGUGGAAGAUUCACUGCUGGCACCACAUAGCCUUGGUAACGUACAUCAUCGGAUCUUCCCCACAGUGCACUGGGGCAAGGAUAAUAUCCCCACCUGGCAGAGUUCACAGAAGUCAUAAAGUGAUGGCCUCACUCCAGCAGCCACACCCGGUCAAUCCUGCCAACCACAGUCUAGCCACUCAUGAAGGUUGGCAUUGUCUCCCCUUACCUCCCCCACUCCAUGCUAGGCUGGCUGUUGGGGCGGGGAAGUGAGGAGGAGCUGUAGAGCCCACCCCUGGCCUUGGGAGUUGAGCCUUUAAUCAGAGAGAGAUCUGACACCCAUAGGUAUGGUGGAGAGCCCAUCAUUGAUCCCCUGUGCGUCUCGGUUGCUGGGAGAUGAGAGGAGUGAAAAAAGGAUCAUGGUGGGGUGAAGUGGACGCUGGGGGCUUGCUGAGGGAGGUCCUAACUGCAGAGUUACCCAUGGACUCCAGGAGAGUGCAUGGAUAUGGGUGGGCGGGUGUAACUGAGGGAGUCAGCGGCACCACCCCUUCCCCAUCUCAAAGUCUUUGUCCCCACUCCCGUGUAUGGGGUGUAGGAGGAGACCUGGGGUCACAUCUGAGACAGCAUACUGUCCCAAGUUAUAGACCAGGAGCCGGAGUGUGGUGGUGUCCAGCAGGUCAAAUUCUAGACCAGAGACUGAGCCAGAGGCGCCAGGAAGCAAGAAAAUAUUGGGAGAGAGUGGGCUUAAAAUGUAAUGCCCAGAUAGAAAAAUCAGAAGGUACCUAUUGCAAGUAAAGAAGUCAAAUUAUUAAAUUAAAAACCUUCCCACAAAGGAAAGCCCGGGGCCAGCUGGCUCCAUUGGUGAAUUCUAUCAGACGUUCAGAGAAGAAAUAAUACCCAUCCGUCACAGACUCUUGCCGAAUAGAGAGGAGGAGGGAACAUUUCCUAAGUCAUCCUAUGAGAACAAUAUUACUCUGCUACCAAAGCCAGACAUGACAUCACAAGCAAACUAUAGACCGACAUCCAUCGUGAAUAUCGAUACAUAAAUCCUCAACAAAAUAUUAGCAAACCCAGUCCAGCAACAUUUACAAAGGGGUAUGCAACACAACCAGGCGAGAUUUACCCCACGGUUGCAAUAUUGGCUUAACAUUCAAAUUCAAUUAAGGUAAUACACCACAUUAAUAUAACAAGGGACAGAAACCAUCCGAUUGUCUUGACAGACAAAGAAAAAGCAUCUGACAAAAUUCAAGACCCGGUCAUGAUUUAAGAAAUGCUCAACCAACUAGAGAUAGAAGGGAAUGUCCUCAAUCUGAUGAAGGACAUCUACAAGAAACCUGCUGCUCCCAUCACAUCAUAUUUAUUAGUGAAAGAAUGGAUGCUUUCCCCUUAUAAGAUCCAGACCAAGGCAAGGAUGUCUGCUUCCCCCACGGCUACCCAACAUUGACUGAAGGUUCUAGCCAGUGCCAAUAUGCAAGACAAAGAAAUGAAAACAUGGAGAAGUUGGAAAUGAAACCUAUGUCCACGCAAAGACUUGUGUUCAGAUGUUCACAGCAGCAUUGUUCGUAAUCGCCCAAAAGUGGAAACAAUCUAAAAGUCUGUCGACUGGUGAACGGAUAAACAAAAUGUGGUAUUCCCAUAGAGUAGAAUACCAUUGAUCCAUAAAAAGGGCAAACUUCUGAUUUCUGCUACCACUUGGGUGAGCCUCCAAAGCAUGAUGCUACGUGAAAGAACCCAGACACAAAAGGCCACUUAUUGCUUGAGUCAGUUUAUAUGAAAUGCAAAGAAAGGGCAAAUCUGUAGAGACAGAAAUUAGAUUAGAGGUGCCAGAGUCUGGAGGUGAUAAUGGGGAUUCACUGCUAAUGGGUAUACGGGAUCUUUUUGGGGUGACGGAAAUGUUCGAAAACUGGGUUGUGGUGAUGGUUGCGGAUCUCUGUAAAUUUACUAGAAGUCACUGCAUUGGACCCUUGAACUGGGUGAAUUUUGUGGUAUGUAAGUUAUACUUCAGUAGAGCUGUUUAGCAAAUGUAAUACAAAUAUCCACGGAAGUCAUCCAGGAAAAGGUACGUCGUUGCUUAUAUAGCACUAAGGAAUCCCCCCCCCCCCACCUCGUUCCAUGUUCUGGGUCCUGCCUACGUGACCCAUCAUCACCUGCCUCCUCCAAGUGUACUAGAUGCUCCCGCCAGACAGAGUCACUGUACACAUCAGGGUAGAAGGAGUGCUGGUGAGUGCACACAUGUGUGCGUGUUUCUCUGUGUGUUCACGUGCAGGCGCCCUUUGGGUGAACAUAAUGGUUGACUCGCAAUUCCAUGGCUGAGGGAAUCCACCCUGGGUCUGAAAUGCCACUCAGGUGUUUUUCUGUUCUCCACGAAUCCCCUGGACCCGGCUCAGUUUCCCUGAGCCCUUAGCUUCAACCUCUGGUCACAGGAAGACAUGUAGAGUGGUGAGGGGUCUCGUCCCCCUAUAGGGAACCCUGCCCGAGCUCAGUGACCGGGUGGGGAUGCGCAACAGAGCAGUGACCAAGACAAUGGAACUCCAGCCACCUUUCCACCCCAAGGCCCUUCUCCCUCCCCUCCACCUGCCUGGGGGGUCACGUAAGGAAGGGGACGUUGGGGCAUAAACACACUCCUGAGUCCUUGAAAUUGUUCUAAACAUGGCUGUAAAAUAAAGUAAACAUGUCAAAAAUAGCUCUCAAAAGAGAAGAUACAUAUUAAUUUUUUUUUAAUCCAGAAAUGACAAACAUGGCUCUAAAGUCCAAAAUUCUAUUUAAAACCAAGGGAGGUGAAACACAGCGUGUGCUUAUGCUUCUCAACCUCGCGCGGCAUCACAUCUCCCCUGGAGCGGUUUUAAAAGAAGAUGAUGGGGGCCGGCCAGAUGGCAUAGCGGUUAAAUUUGCUCCCUCCGCUUCCGCAGCCCAGGGUUUGCUGGUUCAGAUCCCGGGGUGCGACCUACACACCGCUUAUCAAGCCAUGUGGCGGCAGGCGUCCCACAUAUAAAGUAGAGGAAGAUGGGCAUGGAUGUUAGCUCAGGGCCAGUCUUCCUCAGCAGGAAGAGGAGGAUUGGUGUUGGAUGUUAGCUCUGGGCUGAUCUUCCUCAAAGAAAGAAAGAAAAAAAAAAAGGUGGCGCACCAUCCCCAGAAAGUCUGAAUUAGUGGGUCUGGAACGUGGCCCCGGCAUGAACAUUACUGGAAAACUUCUAUGAAAGGCUAGAUUGCAGCUGUGGAAACAGAACCUUCCUUCUAGGAGGAAACCUAAAAUCGGAGAUUUGAGACUUCUCUUUACAAGGAGAGCAGGUUUGCAUCAUUACCUGCUGUGCUUGGCAGAUAUCUUAGGAAAGGAAAAAAUAUGACAACGCGAAUGUGUGUUUUAAGACUGACACUGUACUUGCUGUUCUCCACGUUCCUGAAAUCAAAAUUUUGAAGUUAAAACCCAUUAGUAUUUGCUAAUGAAACAUCUAAGUUUUUAUUUCUCGUCCAGCCAUUGUGCUUACUUUAAAAUUUGUAAAGCAUUGUCUAGAUGAUGCCAUGAGACACGUCACAACAUUUCUUUGAAAAUUACAGAUGACUAGAUUUGUAUCGGUUGAUGCAGAAGGAUCUGCCGUCAGGCUUAUCUGCUAAGUUUGUUGAGUUGCAUUUUUUAACUUUUUAUUAUAAUUUAUGUUAUCAAAGUAAUUCACACUCAGAUAAAAGACCAUAUAGGACCAGGAUAUUUAUGAUGAAAAAUAAAAUUCAGCAAUCCCUUGUAUCAUGCACACCCAUGGACUUUCCUCCGCCUCCCCAAACUUUCUCCUUCAGCGAUUUCUUCUGGAUAUGCAUCUCCAUAUUCCCAAAUCAUGGGCUUAUACUGCUAUGUCUGGAUUCAUUGAGUUUAGACAUUAUUUGUUGAGUUCUUACAGAAGAUGAGGAUUUCCCUCUCUCAGGUAUAUUGCAGGGCCCAGGUUCUCCUUGGAGUUCCUGUGAGGGGCCCACCCAAACCGGUGCACACGUCUCUGCUCAGGAUGUGUUCAGAGUGUGUCUGCCAAGAACGAGCCCUCACAGGGGACUUUAUGCACAUCUGUGGCAACAUGAAGAUCAUGGUUUAGCCUUUUCCAGAGCAGGUCCAGGGAGUCACAGGGUGGUGGAAAGCACACCUAGCAGCAUCCCCAGGGGUUUGGUUUAAGGAAUCGGGUGGAUGGCAGUGCCCAUCCAUGAGACAGGGGUCAAAGGUUUGGGGUCACCUGCAUAUUUGCAGGGUUUGUGGGACAUCUGAGUAGAGAUGCCCCAUAGGUCUCAGCCUAUGGGGAGGCCCUGGGGCCCAGCUGAGAUUUCUUAGGCAGACGUGGUGAUGAGAAAAGCUGUCACCAUACAAGGGGAUACAGAUGAAAACAAGUCAGAUGGGGGACAGUUCUGGGUGGUGAUGUGGUCACCCACGGAUCUUGUGCUGAGUGAGAAGAGCACUGGGCAGAGGUUGGAAACCAGGAAGAAACAAGAUUUAGCAGGGGAUCAAAGAAAAAGGACCAAUGAGGAGACUUGGAAGUAGUGGUCUGAGAGGUAGGAGGAAAGCCAAGAUGGGCUGCUGUCACAGACGCUGAGAAAGGAGAGCAUUUUGAAAAAAAGGAAUGUUAACUGUGGCCAAGACAGCAUCGGGUACUUUGGGUUUGGCAACAUGGAGCCCGUUGGAGAAUUUAGCAAGGGGAUGGUCCAUGGAUGGGGGCAUAUUGAGGGGGAAUCGAAAGGUAACCAAAUAAGUAUGCUGUUGGAGUUUACACUUUCAAGAAGCUUGGCUUGGAAGGAAUCAAAGACACGGGGUAAUAGAAGCAGAUGGCCAUGUGCUUUUCAGGGUAUGUUAUUUUCUGUCCCCAACAAUGAGAGAGAAAAACAUCAGGAUGCAGGUUCCAGAAAUCCCUCACUGUCGGGAGAACUGUUGAGUAGAUGACAGAGUUAUCAAGAGUUGGGAUAAGCCUCACAGGUGAUUCUUCAAGUUGAGGAGGGAGGAAUGGGGGUUUCAAAGCAGCAGUGGAGUUGCAGGGAGACUUCCAUCCCCUCUUCCCACCCUCAUUCUUACCUCCGGGACCCAUGGAGAUGUGUGUGGACUGAGAGAUACAACAUCUUCCAGGUAAAAGGCCUCAAAUGGGUGGUGUUGGGGAGAGUCCAAGAUUGAGUUAACUCAGAAUAGAGUGAAAUUGAGGGGGGAGGGAUUGGGAAGCUUUGGCAAAGGCGGCAUCAGAGGGAAGAGAGUCCUGCUGGGGGAGGACACAGCAGUCCUGUGGUGAGGGCAACGGAUGUAACGGGCUUGGGUUUGGAGUGAUGGCAGGGGCUGGAGACAAAGGCAUUUGAGUGGCCUUGAGAUUCACACCGAAUGUCUGCUGCAAAGAUGUUACUUGAUUCAGGACGCUAGAAGCACAGAAAGCUAUGAGAAGCUAGGAGAGGUUUGGCCUCAAUGUUUCAUAUCUGUGGCGAGGAGGCUGUGCUUUGGGGUCUUCCAGAUGAUGAACAGAGGGGCUGGUCCAUAGAGCGAAAGAACAGAACUCCCUUGUGAUUCUGGCCCCUGCAAAGGUGAGAUAGCAGAGUCUCUAGUCCUCAGAUCACCAUGAAGGGGAUGCAAAGGCCCAGGGCUCGGGUGGGGCGCUUUGGAAGUGCAGGGAGAGGCCUGAGUCUGAAGUCUUCAAAGAUCUUACCCAAGGGCCACCGGUAUCAGGCCACCAUCAAAUAACUGAGGUGUAUGCUUUCCAGCAAAGUAGCAGGGUUCAAUCCAAAAGAGAUUUCUGCCAGAGCGACCUGUGCACAGCCCAGGCACUAUCGGAACUCGAGGUCUUUGUGAAGGACGUCCCGUUUUUCCAUAGCUCCUUAACCUCUGUUUGGCCAGUGGGGAAGGAUAGGACUAGAUCUGAGAGGGCGCCCCAAUGAGGAAAGGAUACCAGGUGGGGCAUGACUGUGACAGGGGGAGAACCAAGCCAUUCCUCCAAGUUGACCCCCUUAGCUCCCCGGGGUGAGACACAAGAGCCGUGGUGGCUUCUUUGGGACUAGUUCCUGGUUUCCAUUUGAAAGGCUCCUGGGCCUCAGAGCACUGCUGUCUCCUUAAGAUGAAGGGGUGUAGAAGGCACGAUUUUCUGAGUUACAAGAACCAAAUGAGGCAGUGGGUAUAUAAAUGUUUUCUAAGUCACAUAGCUCCACAUAAAGUGAGCCUGUGAAAACUGGUAUUGUUUCUGCUGUUUGAUUGUUGUUGCUGCUAUUAUUCAAUGUGCUCUCCUCGAUAGAAAACACACUCAAGAAGCCAACGACUACCUAGAAGUGGAGACCUGAGACACGCCCCUUGCCAGGAGCAUUUGAUUGCCACUCACUCUCUCAGGGCAAAAGCCGUUGCCUGUGCUCGAGGGCACGCAAGGUCUAGGAGAAAUGAGGAGGGUCUCCCUUGAAGAAUAGGAGCCAGUGGGUGAGCAAGAGACCUUGGGAGAUAUUUCUGAGUCUGUCAGCAGCUACUGAGAUUCUCACCCAUGCCUCUUGACUCUAGGGAGGAAACUGGCAUUGUUACCCUCAAAAGAAAGGAAGGAAAAGAAGGGGGGGAGAAAAAGUCAACCCUACUUCUUCUAAUAAAAAACAUUGGCUUUCUGCA
Equus caballus (horse) is the source of this 11183-nucleotide non-coding RNA. Lineage: Eukaryota; Metazoa; Chordata; Mammalia; Perissodactyla; Equidae. The record is from RefSeq and is a predicted model, not a curated record.